Long non-coding RNA from Macadamia integrifolia, 1841 nucleotides. RefSeq lists it as uncharacterized. NCBI's taxonomy places the organism in Eukaryota, Viridiplantae, Streptophyta, Magnoliopsida, Proteales, Proteaceae. The record is from RefSeq and is a predicted model, not a curated record. The transcript has 2 exons.
UGGGACAAUCUAUAUUUUUCAUAUUUUCUACUAAAAAAAUCUCUAUCUUUUUAUAUUAUCUACUCUAAUUGAUUUCCUAAUUUUCUUUAAUUUCCUUAUCAUAAUAACUCUCUAUUUCUUUUUUCAAACUUUUUAUACAUACAUCCUCGCUAUAAUCUUUCUCUCUUCUUAGAUUCCAUGUCUUUCUCAUAGAGACUUCUUCUUUUCCCGAUUUCCUGGAUAUCUCUCUUUCCUCUCAAGUCUGAAUCUAAACUAGAAAGGAAUUUCUUUACAAAAAAAAAAUCACAUGGUAUGAUUUCGACCUCGUAUUCUUAUCGAUGUGAGCAAGAUAGACCUGACCACUACUAUCUUGGGGUUCAAAAUAUCAAUGCCAAUUAUGAUUGCUCCAACCGCCAUGCAAAAAAUGGCACAUUCUGAAGGUACUGCCCUGUUUCCUUAAGCUCGUGCUCUAAUCAAGUUUGGGCAAAGUAGGAAUUAUUUAUCGUUAAUGAAACAUGAAAAAUACCUAUUUCCAUUUCACUCGAGCCUAGGUCUGUUACUUGACUGAUCCAUUUCAAGUUUUAAUUUUUAUUUUAUUUGUAUCUCUGGAAUUAUCCACCCAGUCAACUGAAUCUUGGUUUGCUUAGGAUAGAUCCAGAGGCCUUACUUGGUUCUAUAAUGGGAGCUGUUAUCAAGACUUGUUCAGCUUAAGUUGACUUGAAACUCAUUUGAGUAUUAGAAAUAUGGUGUUUCCACUGUUAGAUUUAUAUUCUGAGUUUGCAAUUGAAUUUCUAAAGUUUUUGAGAAAGUGAGGAUUUCUUUUCUCUUUCCUGGUUUUGAAGAAAUUCACUCAAAUGCAAUCUAACCUGCUAACUUUAGUGCUAUAUUGAUUAUGAAAGUCUUCUAUUAUAAAUUUGAAUGGAGGUAAAUGAUGCAGCAAUACAUUUGCUGAAUCUAAUCUGUUGAAAAACCAGAUGAACGAAUUUGAGUAGGCAAAUGCAUUGGUGACCACUCAGGUGAGCUGCUACCUCUUCUAUUCCUACAAUCACUGGUAAGUUAUCUCUCUCUCUCUCUCUCUCUCUCUCUCUCUCUCUCUGUUAUGUGUGUAUCCUUUGUGAAAAAAAAAAUGCAAGUCUUCAUUCCUUGAUAUGUACAAUCAGGUUUCCCUUCCUCGGAGAUGCAGCCACAAUUGUAUGGUUUUAUAAUUGUGGACUGAGCUCUCUCUCUCUCUCUGUUAUGUGUGUAUCCUUUGUGAAAAAAAAAAUGCAAGUCUUCAUUCCUUGAUAUGUACAAUCAGGUUUCCCUUCCUCGGAGAUUCAGCCACAAUUGUAUGGUUUUAUAAUUGUGGACUGAGCUUUGAAAAUCCAGUAAAGUUUGGGCUGUGAGAAGGAAACUUUUGCAAGAAGCCAUUUGCAAGGAUCUACCACCAGGCACCAUUAAGUUCUCUUCCACGCUUGCUUCUAUUAAGGAAACAUGAAACUUAAAACUGCUACAUUUGGCUAAUGGAUCCGAAACCCUUUUCUUUACAAAGUAUCUCAGUGCCAAAAUCUCAUUGGUAUAUAAUCCACCAUCAGACUAACAUUGUUUUCCGGUUUCAAUUAUUGAUUGGGUGCGAUGGAGUGAAUUCAAUUGUUGCAAAAUGGUUGGGUCUUGAAAUACCAAUCUUUUCUGAGAGAUGGGCAAUAGGUGUACUGUGGAAUACUCGGGUGGCCAUGGCCUUGAACCAUCAGUUCUUUGGAAAUGGCUCUUGCUGUGGUAUGAUUCCUUGUGAUGAGAACAUUGUAUAUCGGUUUUUCACAUGGACUGCUUCUUUAGUAUGUCAUACAUAUAUAUCAUUAGUUUUAAAAUGGGUUAUUUAUGGA